RNAcentral lists this ribosomal RNA (124 nucleotides) under Pteridium revolutum. Lineage: Eukaryota; Viridiplantae; Streptophyta; Polypodiopsida; Polypodiales; Dennstaedtiaceae. The record is from RNAcentral.
UUCCGUCCGGGCAUCCUAGUAAGACGCGGAACACCCGAUCCCAUUCCGACCUCGAUAUGUGAAAAGCGUUUUCUGCCAUAUGUACUGAGAAUUUUCGGGAGACGUGGUUCGACAGCCCGGACCC